AAAGCAGUUACUAGGCUAACCUUAACUAACCUUAGGUGUAGCUUGCAGUCAACUAGCUAGCUAGCUAGCUAACAUUAGCUAGUAUGGGAAAUACAUGCCUUAGCUAAGUUUUAAAAAUGUGUAACUUUGACGAAUGAAAGCCUCUUAACUUGUUUUCUGGAGUUCUUUAUCCAUCAAGCCAAGCUGGUAAACUAGCAGCACCAAGUCAUUGCAGAAUUUAAGAAAGAAACGGCACACAGGAUUUUGAACAGUGUCUAAGGAUGGAUGCCAUCCAAGCACAGAGAGCAUGCUGGGAGGUUUUUACAAGGUUCAGCUCAAGUAUUGUCUUUGUCAACACUUUGAUCAAGCAAGUGGAGCUCAGUGUGACAGUCUGGCAGGGUAAUUGGGCUGGAAUUGCCAGUACACGAGGGUAUAUGUGUGAAAACACACACAUGGCUGUGCACAUACGCCCCUUUUUAUAUUGCCUUAAUAAUACUUUACAAAUAAAAGUCAACUCUUGCAGGAGUUAAAUUUGAAAAUUAAAUUUGUAAAAUGUAA
Molecule: long non-coding RNA, 537 nt
Organism: Etheostoma spectabile (orangethroat darter)
Lineage: Eukaryota; Metazoa; Chordata; Actinopteri; Perciformes; Percidae
Exons: 2
Source: RefSeq, a predicted model, not a curated record